This is a long non-coding RNA of Sciurus carolinensis (gray squirrel), 759 nucleotides long. RefSeq lists it as uncharacterized. The transcript has 3 exons. The record is from RefSeq and is a predicted model, not a curated record. Lineage: Eukaryota; Metazoa; Chordata; Mammalia; Rodentia; Sciuridae.
CAAAACCUCGCUGAGGGAAGCUUCAGGCUUCCCAAAUGGGAAAAUGUGCUGCGGUGUGAGGGUGUGACUGCCUGGUCGGUUUCCUGCGCACCAUUUGAGAGUGCGCGGUGGCAGGCGGGAAUCGGUUUUGAAGCCAGCCUUGCCGUUGGGACGCAAGUUUCUUGAGGUGUCUUAAUAAGAAACAGGGUCUCACUCUGUUGCCCACACUGGCCUUGAACUCCUGAACUCAAGGAAUCCUCCUGCCUCCUGACUAACUGGGACUGGAGACCUGUACCACCACGCCCAGUCUUUCAUCUUCUCAUUGCUUAGAAAUGACUUGUUCCUGAAAGUACUGUGAGAAGACAUGGGGAGGAAUGAGGUCAAAUGCACACACCAUGAUGAUAAGGAGGAGAGAGCAAGCACUUAAAAUACUGUACAGCAUUACCUCAGGCUAUGUGUCUGAGGUGUAGAUGAAACACAAAUGAACUUCCUGUUUCAAUUUGAGUCCCCUCUCCCAAAUAUCUCAUUACAUAUAUGCAAAUAUUCCAAAAUCUGAAACAUUUCUGGUCCCAUGAUUUCAGGCAAGAGACACUCAACUGACUUUCAAAAGGAUGAGCAAGAAAGGAAAUACAUCUCUUGAAAACUAAUUUUAUUUUAUUAAUUAAUAACACUAAAACUUCUUUAUCACUAAAUAUUUCAUUAGUAAUAUUUUAGAGUGGUGCGAUUAAAAAUGUUUUACUUUUUAAAAUUGAUUUACCGCUCUAAUACUGUUAUGUGAAA